Molecule: long non-coding RNA, 339 nt
Organism: Sycon ciliatum
Lineage: Eukaryota; Metazoa; Porifera; Calcarea; Leucosolenida; Sycettidae
Exons: 3
Source: RefSeq, a predicted model, not a curated record
CAGUAGAUGACGAUUCCUUGCCUUGAAGAAGUAAUGGCCUACGUUGUCGAACAUUCAGACCCACUGGAGGCGUUCUACAGCCUGGAGCCCGCUGAUAAGGAUUUUGAUGCGACUUGACUGGAAUUGCACCCACAGCCUUUUGUCAGGCCUGUGACAGGCUGACUGUGGUUGCAAGAUGUUAGCCGAAGCCCCACACCAUGGUUAGGGCAUUGGUUCUUGGUCAUCGGUUACCUUAAAGAGGUACCACAGCCUGGCGUUAUUCUCCGUUGACAAUAGAUCCCUGCAAAGUGUACUUGACUGGCUGCACCUGUCUAACACGACUGCAACCAGCAGCUGGAG